GGGGCCACCUCGGGGUGCCCUGGAUGAUCCAUGGCUGAGAUGCGCAUACGCGGACCCGUAGAACCUGAACCGGUUAAGACCGGCGGAGGGAAGGUCGGUCAUCCAUCC
RNAcentral lists this non-coding RNA (108 nucleotides) under Aliiroseovarius crassostreae. RNAcentral describes it as "TPP sequence". It matches the Rfam family "TPP riboswitch aptamer (THI element)". Rfam says of the family: Vitamin B(1) in its active form thiamin pyrophosphate (TPP) is an essential coenzyme that is synthesised by coupling of pyrimidine and thiazole moieties in bacteria. The previously detected thiamin-regulatory element, thi box was extended, resulting in a new, highly conserved RNA secondary structure, the THI element, which is widely distributed in eubacteria and also occurs in some archaea. Analysis of operon structures identified a large number of new candidate thiamin-regulated genes, mostly transporters, in various prokaryotic organisms. The record is from Rfam by way of RNAcentral. Lineage: Bacteria; Pseudomonadati; Pseudomonadota; Alphaproteobacteria; Rhodobacterales; Paracoccaceae.